CCUACGGGGGGCUGCAGUGGGGAAUCUUGCGCAAUGAUCGUAAGAGUGACGCAGCGACGCCGCGUGAAUGACGAAGGCCUUCGGGUCGUAAAGUUCUUUCGACAGGGAAGAAAAUGCCUAUAAGUAACUGUGUAUGUAUUGACGGUACCUGUAUAAGCAGCCCCGGCUAACUCCGUGCCAGCAGCCGCGGUAAUACGGAGGGGGCGAGCGUUGUUCGGAGGGACUGGGCGUAAAGGGCACGUAGGCGGUGUUGUAAGUCAUUAGUCAAAGACUAGAGCUCAACUUUAGUAAGGCUAGUGAUACUAUAAUACUAGAGUAUCAGAGAGGAUUGCAGAAUUCCUGGUGUAGCGGUGAAAUGCGUAGAUAUCAGGAGGAAUACCGUUAGCGAAGGCGGCAAUCUGGCUGGAAACUGACGCUGAGGUGCGAAAGCGUGGGUAGCAAACAGGAUUAGAUACCCGAGUAGUC
This 465-nucleotide ribosomal RNA is filed under the name uncultured bacterium. RNAcentral describes it as "partial 16S ribosomal RNA". It matches the Rfam family "Bacterial small subunit ribosomal RNA", at positions 338 to 795 of the family's 1533-position model. The record is from RNAcentral.